RNAcentral lists this ribosomal RNA (945 nucleotides) under uncultured bacterium. RNAcentral's name for it is "bacterial SSU rRNA". It matches the Rfam family "Bacterial small subunit ribosomal RNA", at positions 523 to 1482 of the family's 1533-position model. The record is from RNAcentral.
AUACGGAGGAUCCGAGCGUUAUCCGGAUUUAUUGGGUUUAAAGGGAGCGUAGGUGGACAGUUAAGUCAGUUGUGAAAGUUUGCGGCUCAACCGUAAAAUUGCAGUUGAUACUGGCUGUCUUGAGUACAGUAGAGGUGGGCGGAAUUCGUGGUGUAGCGGUGAAAUGCUUAGAUAUCACGAAGAACUCCGAUUGCGAAGGCAGCUCACUGGACUGCAACUGACACUGAUGCUCGAAAGUGUGGGUAUCAAACAGGAUUAGAUACCCUGGUAGUCCACACAGUAAACGAUGAAUACCCGCUGUUUGCGAUAUACAGUAAGCGGCCAAGCGAAAGCAUUAAGUAUUCCACCUGGGGAGUACGCCGGCAACGGUGAAACUCAAAGGAAUUGACGGGGGCCCGCACAAGCGGAGGAACAUGCGGUUUAAUUCGAUGAUACGCGAGGAACCUUACCCGGGCUUAAAUUGCAUUUGAAUAUAUUGGAAACAGUAUAGUCGUAAGACAAAUGUGAAGGUGCUGCAUGGUUGUCGUCAGCUCGUGCCGUGAGGUGUCGGCUUAAGUGCCAUAACGAGCGCAACCCUUAUCUUUAGUUACUAACAGGUCAUGCUGAGGACUCUAGAGAGACUGCCGUCGUAAGAUGUGAGGAAGGUGGGGAUGACGUCAAAUCAGCACGGCCCUUACGUCCGGGGCUACACACGUGUUACAAUGGGGGGUACAGAAGGCAGCUACCUGGUGACAGGAUGCUAAUCCCAAAAGCCUCUCUCAGUUCGGAUCGAAGUCUGCAACCCGACUUCGUGAAGCUGGAUUCGCUAGUAAUCGCGCAUCAGCCAUGGCGCGGUGAAUACGUUCCCGGGCCUUGUACACACCGCCCGUCAAGCCAUGAAAGCCGGGGGUACCUGAAGUACGUAACCGCAAGGAGCGUCCUAGGGUAAAACUGGUAAUUGGGGCU